This 490-nucleotide ribosomal RNA is filed under the name uncultured bacterium. RNAcentral describes it as "partial 16S ribosomal RNA". It matches the Rfam family "Bacterial small subunit ribosomal RNA", at positions 30 to 507 of the family's 1533-position model. The record is from RNAcentral.
AUUGAACGCUGGCGGCAGGCCUAACACAUGCAAGUCGAACGGUAACAGGAAGAAGCUUGCUUCUUUGCUGACGAGUGGCGGACGGGUGAGUAAUGUCUGGGAAACUGCCUGAUGGAGGGGGAUAACUACUGGAAACGGUAGCUAAUACCGCAUAACGUCGCAAGACCAAAGAGGGGGACCUUCGGGCCUCUAGCCAUCGGAUGUGCCCAGAUGGGAUUAGCUAGUAGGUGGGGUAACGGCUCACCUAGGCGACGAUCCCUAGCUGGUCUGAGAGGAUGACCAGCCACACUGGAACUGAGACACGGUCCAGACUCCUACGGGAGGCAGCAGUGGGGAAUAUUGCACAAUGGGCGCAAGCCUGAUGCAGCUAUGCCGCGUGUAUGAAGAAGGCCUUCGGGUUGUAAAGUACUUUCAGCGGGGAGGAAGGGAGUAAAGUUAAUACCUUUACUCAUUGACGUUACCCGCAGAAGAAGCACCGGCUAACUCCGUG